AUUGAACGCUGGCGGCAGGCUUAACACAUGCAAGUCGAGCGGGGUGAUGGUGCUUGCACUAUCACUUAGCGGCGGACGGGUGAGUAAUGCUUAAGAAUCUGCCUAUUAGUGGGGGACAACAUCUCGAAAGGGAUGCUAAUACCGCAUACGUCCUACGAGAGAAAGCAGGGGAUCACUUGUGACCUUGCGCUAAUAGAUGAGCCUAAGUCGGAUUAGCUAGUUGGUGGGGUAAAGGCCUACCAAGGCGACGAUCUGUAGCGGGUCUGAGAGGAUGGUCCGCCACACUGGGACUGAGAAACGGCCCAGACUCCGACGGGAGGCAGCAGUGGGGAAUAUUGGACAAUGGGGGGAACCCUGAUCCAGCCAUGCCGCGUGUGUGAAGAAGGCCUUAUGGUUGUAAAGCACUUUAAGCGAGGAGGAGGCCCUUUUGGUUAAUACCCAAGAUGAGUGGACGUUACUCGCAGAAUAAGCACCGGCUAACUCUGUGCCAGCCGCCGCCGUAA
Molecule: ribosomal RNA, 503 nt
Filed under: uncultured bacterium
Lineage: Bacteria
Description: partial 16S ribosomal RNA
Rfam family: Bacterial small subunit ribosomal RNA
Source: RNAcentral